ACUCCUACGGGAGGCAGCAGUGGGGAAUUUUGGACAAUGGGCGAAAGCCUGAUCCAGCAAUGCCGCGUGAGUGAAGAAGGCCUUCGGGUUGUAAAGCUCUUUUGUCAGGGAAGAAACGGUGAGAGCUAAUAUCUCUUGCUAAUGACGGUACAUGAAGAAUAAGCACCGGCUAACUACGUGCCAGCAGCCGCGGUAAUACGUAGGGUGCAAGCGUUAAUCGGAAUUACUGGGCGUAAAGCGUGCGCAGGCGGUUUUGUAAGUCUGAUGUGAAAUCCCCGGGCUCAACCUGGGAAUUGCAUUGGAGACUGCAAGGCUAGAAUCUGGCAGAGGGGGGUAGAAUUCCACGUGUAGCAGUGAAAUGCGUAGAUAUGUGGAGGAACACCGAUGGCGAAGGCAGCCCCCUGGGUCAAGAUUGACGCUCAUGCACGAAAGCGUGGGGAGCAAACAGGAUUAGAUACCCUGGUAGUCCCAU
Molecule: ribosomal RNA, 472 nt
Filed under: uncultured organism
Description: partial 16S ribosomal RNA
Rfam family: Bacterial small subunit ribosomal RNA
Source: RNAcentral